RNAcentral lists this ribosomal RNA (483 nucleotides) under uncultured Clostridium sp. Its description in RNAcentral is "bacterial SSU rRNA". It matches the Rfam family "Bacterial small subunit ribosomal RNA", at positions 907 to 1392 of the family's 1533-position model. Lineage: Bacteria; Bacillati; Bacillota; Clostridia; Eubacteriales; Clostridiaceae. The record is from RNAcentral.
GAAUUGACGGGGGCCCGCACAAGCAGUGGAGUAUGUGGUUUAAUUCGAAGCAACGCGAAGAACCUUACCAGGGCUUGACAUCCCUCUGACAGCUCUAGAGAUAGGGCUUCUCUUCGGAGCAGAGGAGACAGGUGGUGCAUGGUUGUCGUCAGCUCGUGUCGUGAGAUGUUGGGUUAAGUCCCGCAACGAGCGCAACCCUUGUUGUUAGUUGCCAUCAUUAAGUUGGGCACUCUAACGAGACUGCCGGUGAUAAAUCGGAGGAAGGUGGGGACGACGUCAAAUCAUCAUGCCCCUUAUGUCCUGGGCUACACACGUACUACAAUGGCUGCUACAAAGGGAAGCGAGACCGUGAGGUGGAGCAAAUCCCCAAAAGCAGUCCCAGUUCAGAUUGCAGGCUGAAGCUCGCCUGCAUGAAGUCGGAAUUGCUAGUAAUGGCAGGUCAGCAUACUGCCGUGAAUACGUUCCCGGGCCUUGUACACACCG